Molecule: ribosomal RNA, 576 nt
Filed under: uncultured eukaryote
Lineage: Eukaryota
Description: SSU rRNA
Rfam family: Eukaryotic small subunit ribosomal RNA
Source: RNAcentral
UAAAAACCCCGACUUCGGAAGGGGUGUAUUUAUUAGAUACAAAACCAAUGCCCUUCGGGGCUCUUUGGUGAUUCAUGAUAACUAUACGAAUCGCACGGCCUUGCGCCGGCGAUGGUUCAUUCAAAUUUCUUCCCUAUCAACUUUCGAUGUUUGGGUAUUGGCCAAACAUGGUUGCAACGGGUAACGGAGGGUUAGGGCUCGACCCCGGAGAAGGAGCCUGAGAAACGGCUACUACAUCCAAGGAAGGCAGCAGGCGCGCAAAUUACCCAAUCCCGACUCGGGGAGGUAGUGACAAUAAAUACUGAUACAGGGCCCUUUCGGGCCUUGUAAUUGGAAUGAGUACAAUUUAAAUCCCUUAACGAGGAACAAUUGGAGGGCAAGUCUGGUGCCAGCAGCCGCGGUAAUUCCAGCUCCAAUAGCGUAUACUAAAGUUGUUGUGGCUAAAAAGCUCGUAGUUGAACCUUGGGCCUGGCUGGCCGGUCCGCCUCACCGCGUGCACUGGUCCGGCCGGGCCUUUCCCUCUGUGGAACCCCAUACCCUUCACUGGGCGUGGCGGGGAAACAGGACAUUUACUUU